This is a non-coding RNA of Coffea arabica (coffee), 2029 nucleotides long. The record is from RefSeq and is a predicted model, not a curated record. Lineage: Eukaryota; Viridiplantae; Streptophyta; Magnoliopsida; Gentianales; Rubiaceae.
GCCAAAUUCAAAGUUAAAAUUUCUAUCCGUAGGAGUAUAGGACUAAAAGGCGUUAAUUUUCAUUAUCUCCGUUAUGAGGGCAUUUCUCUUGUUUUAUUGAUCAAUUUCUGUUUUUAUUUUGCAGCCAACCAUCAAGAAAAGGAAACCAAUCAUUCACCAGUGAACAAUUUUCUCAUUUGCCAGCCUUUACUAGAUUUGAGGGGGGCUUGCUUGAAAAUCCUAAAGGAGAAAAAAGGAUAGAUAUGAACAAGAAAAUCCAACAUGCUUGGAUGUUUCACUUGACUUGCUUGGAAAACCCAUAACUUGCUGGUUCCCUCUCAAGUCUCAACUUUGACACAUUUCACCAAAAUGUCUCAAUCUUUAAAAGAAAACAUCUCCAAUUCACCACACAUAUGCUGCUCUUUAGUCAGUUAUUCCUGGACUCAGAACUCGCCAUCACUGUCACUGCCAGCCUUCAACAAAAGCGAACAAUCACCAAUCACUAAACAUUUUCUCAUUUGGCUGCCUUCACUAGGGCAUGACAAUAUUUGUUGGUUUAAGUGAAGUUGUGAACUUACAAAACAAAAGGCAGUGAAGACCUUGCCUGCAAAUCUUAGUGCCUUAACCAUUUGCACGAUAAAAGGUUCAUUGCACUCAUUACGUGGGAAGUGAACUGACAAGCAACUUGGCAAAUCCAAAUUUCUGGCUGCAAAGACUUGAGAAGCACAAACAGAUCUCAUUGGUAUGUCGUAGCAGUAAAAUAAAGUUCCAGUUAAAGGACAGGCAUGUGCAUUUUGCACUUUUGGAUGCAAAAUUUUGUCAGCUAUCACAUUCAAUGUAUUCAUAACCAUUUUGCUUAUUUACUUUUGCUUAUUUACUACAGCUGGCAUUUUUGUCGUGUCUUUUAUCCCCACUAGACACAUAAAAACAAGACAUCAACCAGGUUUGUUGUGCAAAACCAAUGUUUGUGACUACCCAAUUUUAAUUGUCAUUUGCAAUAAGUAUUCAUGAGCUCUGGAGUGGAUAUGCAUUAACAGAUGUAUGUUUAAGGAUUAACAGAUAAAAUUUUCACAAGAAGUCCAUGGGAUUAGAUGGGAUGAACACCUUUUUUUCUUUGAGAAUUAUAUACAGUACAAGCUAAGGGAGAUUCAGAGUAGCUUUUCAUGGUUUCAUAUGUAGCAGUUCCUGGUGAGGAAGACUUAAUUUGAGGGGUCUUUACUAUGGAUUGGCUGGAAUUCUUGUUGGUGUCUCAGUUAAUUCCCAUUAAUGGAACUGGUGGGUAAUGUUGUUUUUUCAUGAUGUCUCAACAAUAUGCAUGCCCUGCAUCUGGUUUCUACAUGCUUGAUGCAUGUGGUUUGCUAAGUAAGCUGCAAUUUGUCUAUGUUAAAACUCCUUCCAGAUUUUUCUUUGAGGACUGAAAAUGACUUGUGCAUUUCUUUGAGGACUGAAAAUUCCUUUCAGCUUUUCUGUUGGAUUGCUCUGAUGCAUUUCCCUAGUUAAUUAGUUAAACAAAGCAUACCUUGUGGUCUAUUAACUAAAUGGUAGUUUGAAGCAUAAUUUUCUUACUGUAUCUAUUUUAUGUGAGAAAAUGAAUGGGGCAUCUUCUGUGGCUUUUCGUGUGCUAAGUAUCAUGAUCAUAAUCUACUUCUUGUUCAAGAAGAAGAAAGAAGCCAAUUUUCAACAGGAGGUAAAUGGGAUGUUUUAAUGCCAGGUCUUCAAGAUGGACUUGAAACAAAGACGUCUACUUUAUCUUGAAUCAAUGAAAUUGGUGUCUUCACUGACUGGAUCCCUUAAGAAUCUUUUCCUCCUGGGAAAAUGAUGGUUAUAGCUUAGUUCUCGCCAAAGCCUGUGGGCAUGUUGGAAGUUUAUUUCUUGGUAUUUUGAUCAAGAGCUUCCACGUAAUUACAUUUCAAAUUUCAGUUGCUUCAUUGGUGCAUUUUGACAGUAUUUUUAGAUUUUAUUCAAAUUCUUUGUAUUCUCGAAACAACAGGAUGCAAUUUUUACAUGUUGGGAAACUAAUAAAGAGUAUAGGGCUGUACUUUCUUGUGAA